CCUACGGGAGGCAGCAGUCGAGAAUCAUUCACAAUGGGGGAAACCCUGAUGGUGCGACGCCGCGUGGGGGAAUGAAGGUCUUCGGAUUGUAAACCCCUGUCAUGUGGGAGCAAAUUAAAAAGAUCGUACCCCAAGAGGAAGAGACGGCUAACUCUGUGCCAGCAGCCGCGGUAAUACAGAGGUCUCAAGCGUUGUUCGGAAUCACUGGGCGUAAAGCGUGCGUAGGCUGUUUCGUAAGUCGUGUGUGAAAGGCGCGGGCUCAACCCGCGGACGGCACAUGAUACUGCGAGACUAGAGUAAUGGAGGGGGAACCGGAAUUCUCGGUGUAGCAGUGAAAUGCGUAGAUAUCGAGAGGAACACUCGUGGCGAAGGCGGGUUCCUGGACAUUAACUGACGCUGAGGCACGAAGGCCAGGGGAGCGAAAGGGAUUAGAUACCCCAGUAGUC
Molecule: ribosomal RNA, 446 nt
Filed under: uncultured bacterium
Lineage: Bacteria
Description: partial 16S ribosomal RNA
Rfam family: Bacterial small subunit ribosomal RNA
Source: RNAcentral